CUGGGGAGAAGAGGAGGAGGAGGAACUUUGAUGGCUGGGGAGAGGAGGAGGGAGAGGAGGAACUUUGGUGGCUGGGGAGAAGAGGAGGAGGAGGAACUCUGGUGGCUGGGGAGAGGAGGAGGGAGAGGAGGAAGUGGUGGCUGGGGAGAAGAGGAGGAGGAGGAACUCUGGUGGCUGGGGAGAGGAGGAGGGAGAGGAGGAACUUUGGUGGCUGGGGAGGGGGGAGGAGGGAGAGGAGGAACUCUGGUGGCUGGGGAGAGGAGGAGGGAGAGGAGGAUCUCUGGUGGCUGGGGAAAGGAGGAGGGAGAGGAGGAACUCUGGUUGCUGGGGAGAGGAGGAGGGAGAGGAGGAACUCUGGUGGCUGGGGAGAGGAGGAGGGAGAGGAGGAACUCUGGUGGCUGGGGAGAAGAGGAGGAGGAGGAUCUCUGGUUGCUGGGGAGAGGAGGAAGAGGAGGAGGAGGAACUUUGGUGGCUGGGGAGAGGAGGAGGGAGAGGAGGAACUCUGGUGGCUGGGGAGAAGAGGAGGAGGAGGAACUCUGGUGGCUGGGGAGAGGAGGAGGAGGAGGAACUCUGGUGGUUGGGGAGAAGAGGAGGAGGAGGAACUCUGGUGGCUGGGAAGAGGAGGAGGAGGAACUCUGGUGGUUGGGGAGAAGAAGAAAUAGAAAGAGUUUGGGGAAUGGAGGAAAGGAGAGAAAGAGGCAGAGGAGAUACUGGGACACGGCAUGCAGAAGGACACAAAGAAUCACAUCUGUCUCCACACUGUCCUCCUUCCCUCUGUGGGAGACCGAGGAGAGAGG
Long non-coding RNA from Oncorhynchus tshawytscha (Chinook salmon), 797 nucleotides. The record is from Ensembl. Lineage: Eukaryota; Metazoa; Chordata; Actinopteri; Salmoniformes; Salmonidae.